UGGAAAUCAGCAUAUGUCCAUUCGUGAAAGACGAAGUGUUCUGACCACACAAGUGGUCAGAACACUUGUGUCACACCUGAUGGAUCAAUAUGGAGAAAACCCAUCUUCAGACACUAAAGCAAUUCUGGCAUCUUCGAUUGUGGACCAGUUUCCAUGUUUAAGAGACAGCCAUGGCACAGGAUAUGACGCCUGGUUUACCCCCGGAAGACAACACAGGCCAGCAACUGGCUUUCUGGAGGAGC
Molecule: long non-coding RNA, 242 nt
Organism: Poeciliopsis prolifica (blackstripe livebearer)
Lineage: Eukaryota; Metazoa; Chordata; Actinopteri; Cyprinodontiformes; Poeciliidae
Exons: 3
Source: RefSeq, a predicted model, not a curated record